This 2904-nucleotide ribosomal RNA is filed under the name Escherichia coli. RNAcentral describes it as "23S ribosomal RNA". It matches the Rfam family "Bacterial large subunit ribosomal RNA". Lineage: Bacteria; Pseudomonadati; Pseudomonadota; Gammaproteobacteria; Enterobacterales; Enterobacteriaceae. The record is from RNAcentral.
GGUUAAGCGACUAAGCGUACACGGUGGAUGCCCUGGCAGUCAGAGGCGAUGAAGGACGUGCUAAUCUGCGAUAAGCGUCGGUAAGGUGAUAUGAACCGUUAUAACCGGCGAUUUCCGAAUGGGGAAACCCAGUGUGUUUCGACACACUAUCAUUAACUGAAUCCAUAGGUUAAUGAGGCGAACCGGGGGAACUGAAACAUCUAAGUACCCCGAGGAAAAGAAAUCAACCGAGAUUCCCCCAGUAGCGGCGAGCGAACGGGGAGCAGCCCAGAGCCUGAAUCAGUGUGUGUGUUAGUGGAAGCGUCUGGAAAGGCGCGCGAUACAGGGUGACAGCCCCGUACACAAAAAUGCACAUGCUGUGAGCUCGAUGAGUAGGGCGGGACACGUGGUAUCCUGUCUGAAUAUGGGGGGACCAUCCUCCAAGGCUAAAUACUCCUGACUGACCGAUAGUGAACCAGUACCGUGAGGGAAAGGCGAAAAGAACCCCGGCGAGGGGAGUGAAAAAGAACCUGAAACCGUGUACGUACAAGCAGUGGGAGCACGCUUAGGCGUGUGACUGCGUACCUUUUGUAUAAUGGGUCAGCGACUUAUAUUCUGUAGCAAGGUUAACCGAAUAGGGGAGCCGAAGGGAAACCGAGUCUUAACUGGGCGUUAAGUUGCAGGGUAUAGACCCGAAACCCGGUGAUCUAGCCAUGGGCAGGUUGAAGGUUGGGUAACACUAACUGGAGGACCGAACCGACUAAUGUUGAAAAAUUAGCGGAUGACUUGUGGCUGGGGGUGAAAGGCCAAUCAAACCGGGAGAUAGCUGGUUCUCCCCGAAAGCUAUUUAGGUAGCGCCUCGUGAAUUCAUCUCCGGGGGUAGAGCACUGUUUCGGCAAGGGGGUCAUCCCGACUUACCAACCCGAUGCAAACUGCGAAUACCGGAGAAUGUUAUCACGGGAGACACACGGCGGGUGCUAACGUCCGUCGUGAAGAGGGAAACAACCCAGACCGCCAGCUAAGGUCCCAAAGUCAUGGUUAAGUGGGAAACGAUGUGGGAAGGCCCAGACAGCCAGGAUGUUGGCUUAGAAGCAGCCAUCAUUUAAAGAAAGCGUAAUAGCUCACUGGUCGAGUCGGCCUGCGCGGAAGAUGUAACGGGGCUAAACCAUGCACCGAAGCUGCGGCAGCGACGCUGAUGCGUUGUUGGGUAGGGGAGCGUUCUGUAAGCCUGCGAAGGUGUGCUGUGAGGCAUGCUGGAGGUAUCAGAAGUGCGAAUGCUGACAUAAGUAACGAUAAAGCGGGUGAAAAGCCCGCUCGCCGGAAGACCAAGGGUUCCUGUCCAACGUUAAUCGGGGCAGGGUGAGUCGACCCCUAAGGCGAGGCCGAAAGGCGUAGUCGAUGGGAAACAGGUUAAUAUUCCUGUACUUGGUGUUACUGCGAAGGGGGGACGGAGAAGGCUAUGUUGGCCGGGCGACGGUUGUCCCGGUUUAAGCGUGUAGGCUGGUUUUCCAGGCAAAUCCGGAAAAUCAAGGCUGAGGCGUGAUGACGAGGCACUACGGUGCUGAAGCAACAAAUGCCCUGCUUCCAGGAAAAGCCUCUAAGCAUCAGGUAACAUCAAAUCGUACCCCAAACCGACACAGGUGGUCAGGUAGAGAAUACCAAGGCGCUUGAGAGAACUCGGGUGAAGGAACUAGGCAAAAUGGUGCCGUAACUUCGGGAGAAGGCACGCUGAUAUGUAGGUGAGGUCCCUCGCGGAUGGAGCUGAAAUCAGUCGAAGAUACCAGCUGGCUGCAACUGUUUAUUAAAAACACAGCACUGUGCAAACACGAAAGUGGACGUAUACGGUGUGACGCCUGCCCGGUGCCGGAAGGUUAAUUGAUGGGGUUAGCGCAAGCGAAGCUCUUGAUCGAAGCCCCGGUAAACGGCGGCCGUAACUAUAACGGUCCUAAGGUAGCGAAAUUCCUUGUCGGGUAAGUUCCGACCUGCACGAAUGGCGUAAUGAUGGCCAGGCUGUCUCCACCCGAGACUCAGUGAAAUUGAACUCGCUGUGAAGAUGCAGUGUACCCGCGGCAAGACGGAAAGACCCCGUGAACCUUUACUAUAGCUUGACACUGAACAUUGAGCCUUGAUGUGUAGGAUAGGUGGGAGGCUUGGAAGUGUGGACGCCAGUCUGCAUGGAGCCGACCUUGAAAUACCACCCUUUAAUGUUUGAUGUUCUAACGUUGACCCGUAAUCCGGGUUGCGGACAGUGUCUGGUGGGUAGUUUGACUGGGGCGGUCUCCUCCUAAAGAGUAACGGAGGAGCACGAAGGUUGGCUAAUCCUGGUCGGACAUCAGGAGGUUAGUGCAAUGGCAUAAGCCAGCUUGACUGCGAGCGUGACGGCGCGAGCAGGUGCGAAAGCAGGUCAUAGUGAUCCGGUGGUUCUGAAUGGAAGGGCCAUCGCUCAACGGAUAAAAGGUACUCCGGGGAUAACAGGCUGAUACCGCCCAAGAGUUCAUAUCGACGGCGGUGUUUGGCACCUCGAUGUCGGCUCAUCACAUCCUGGGGCUGAAGUAGGUCCCAAGGGUAUGGCUGUUCGCCAUUUAAAGUGGUACGCGAGCUGGGUUUAGAACGUCGUGAGACAGUUCGGUCCCUAUCUGCCGUGGGCGCUGGAGAACUGAGGGGGGCUGCUCCUAGUACGAGAGGACCGGAGUGGACGCAUCACUGGUGUUCGGGUUGUCAUGCCAAUGGCACUGCCCGGUAGCUAAAUGCGGAAGAGAUAAGUGCUGAAAGCAUCUAAGCACGAAACUUGCCCCGAGAUGAGUUCUCCCUGACUCCUUGAGAGUCCUGAAGGAACGUUGAAGACGACGACGUUGAUAGGCCGGGUGUGUAAGCGCAGCGAUGCGUUGAGCUAACCGGUACUAAUGAACCGUGAGGCUUAACCUU